GUCUGCUGGGAUCCUUCCUGUGCUUUCAGCAAGUGUCUUCUCAGGCACAUGUGGGCUAACGGAAAAGGCAGUCGUUCUAGGCGUCCUCUAGGAGAAAGGUCCUCUGGGCUCCCUAAGACAGUGUCAGUGGACCUGCCUGGGGAGGUCACGGCUGCUGGCUGUUCGGGGCGCCCGGUCUCCUUUCCGGGAGUGAGUGCGGAGUGUCGGAUACCGAACGGAUGUACUCAGUGGUGUUUCAAGAAAUAUGCAGUCGCUAUGGGAAGACAUACAGCUGGGAUUUGAAGUCGCUGGUGAUGGGUAAAAAGGCGUUAGAAGCCGCUCAGAUUGUGAUAGACGUCCUGCAGCUCCCCAUGUCCAAAGAGGAGCUGGUGGAGGAGAGCCAGAGGAAGCUACAGGAGCUGUUCCCCACCGCUGAGCUUAUGCCAGUGCCUCGUCUUCGAAGAUGCCCCCAAUGGGGUGGAGGCCGCCCUGACAGCCGGGAUGCAGGUGGUCAUGGUUCCCGACGAAAACCUGAGCCGAGACUUGACGACCAAGGCCACCGUCGUGCUGAGUUCCCUGCAGGAUCUGCAGCCCGAGCUGUUUGGCCUGCCCGCCUACGAGUGAGGGCCAGGCCCCUGUGUGCUGCUCUGGCCGCAUCCGUGACCCACACUGCUGAGGGAGCGCAGCGGGUGCAGCGGAAUGUGCCCAGCGUGACGGGCGUGUGGGAGCUGUGUGAGUGGGUGCCAGGCUGUACACGUACGGAUAUACUUCUUUCUCCGAGACGGUGUGACUCUACACUUACCUUCGUUUCUGUUUCACCUCAGUGA
RNAcentral lists this long non-coding RNA (806 nucleotides) under Fukomys damarensis (Damara mole-rat). Its description in RNAcentral is "lncRNA (ENSFDAG00000021918.1)". Lineage: Eukaryota; Metazoa; Chordata; Mammalia; Rodentia; Bathyergidae. The record is from RNAcentral.